Molecule: ribosomal RNA, 259 nt
Filed under: uncultured prokaryote
Description: partial 16S ribosomal RNA
Rfam family: Bacterial small subunit ribosomal RNA
Source: RNAcentral
UACGUAGGGUACGAGCGUUGUCCGGAAUUAUUGGGCGUAAAGAGCUCGUAGGUGGUUGGUCACGUCUGCUGUGGAGACGCAACGCUUAACGUUGCGCGGACAGUGGGUACGGGCUGACUAGAGUGCAGUAGGGGAGUCUGGAAUUCCUGGUGUAGCGGUGAAAUGCGCAGAUAUCAGGAGGAACACCGGUGGCGAAGGCGGGACUCUGGGCUGUGACUGACACUGAGGAGCGAAAGCAUGGGGAGCGAACAGGAUUAGA